UGGGGAAUUUUGGACAAUGGGCGAAAGCCUGAUCCAGCAAUGCCGCGUGUGUGAAGAAGGCCUUCGGGUUGUAAAGCACUUUUGUCCGGAAAGAAAUCCUUGGCUCUAAUACAGUCGGGGGAUGACGGUACCGGAAGAAUAAGCACCGGCUAACUACGUGCCAGCAGCCGCGGUAAUACGUAGGGUGCAAGCAUUAAUCGGAAUUACUGGGCGUAAAGCGUGCGCAGGCGGUUUGCUAAGACCGAUGUGAAAUCCCCGGGCUCAACCUGGGAACUGCAUUGGUGACUGGCAGGCUAGAGUAUGGCAGAGGGGGGUAGAAUUCCACGUGUAGCAGUGAAAUGCGUAGAGAUGUGGAGGAAUACCGAUGGCGAAGGCAGCCCCCUGGGCCAAUACUGACGCUCAUGCACGAAAGCGUGGGGAGCAAACAGGAUUAGAUACCCUGGUAGUCCACGCCCUAAACGAUGUCAACUAGUUGUUGGGGAUUCAUUCCUUAGUAACGUAGCUAACGCGUGAAGUUGACCGCCUGGGGAGUACGGUCGCAAGAUUAAAACUCAAAGGAAUUGACGGGGUCAUAGCUG
RNAcentral lists this ribosomal RNA (578 nucleotides) under uncultured bacterium. RNAcentral describes it as "partial 16S ribosomal RNA". It matches the Rfam family "Bacterial small subunit ribosomal RNA", at positions 355 to 932 of the family's 1533-position model. The record is from RNAcentral.